Gavialis gangeticus (Gharial) is the source of this 1728-nucleotide long non-coding RNA. RefSeq lists it as uncharacterized. The transcript has 2 exons. The record is from RefSeq and is a predicted model, not a curated record. NCBI's taxonomy places the organism in Eukaryota, Metazoa, Chordata, Crocodylia, Gavialidae.
AAAAAAAAAAAAAAAGAGAGAGAGAGAGAGAAAAAAAUAGUACAUCAAAAAAAAUAGGAUUGAUUGCUAUGUAGGAAAAUGCUGUUAGCACCACCGUUUCCUGCCAUUAAGGUAGGACAGUCCUACCCAAAGGCUUAUAGAGUGGCAAUGAUUUCUUCGGGCGACAUCCUUUAUUGGAUUAUGCGUUUGGGAUCGAGUUAGGCAAGCUUUUGAAUGCAAGAUGUUCUGUGUCAGCUCUCGAGACAAGAACAUGUUGCAUUCAAAAGUGUGCCUAAGUCUAUCCCAGCUACAUACAGUAAGAUCCCUAAUAUCUGGGAUUUAACUAACUGGCACGCUCUACUAACCAGAAUUUCCGGGCGGCCAGCCAGACAUGGGGGACGGGGAGGGGAAAGCUUGCACGCAGCAGCCACUGCCACCACCCACUACCCUGUCCUGCUGCUGCUCUGCGUGAGGCUGCCACCACCCCCCAGCCCCUGCUUGGCGUGCGGCCACUGCCACCACACACUACCCUGCGCUGUUUGUGCUCAGCAUGCAGCCUCCACCACACCGCCCCUGCCCUACCCCCCUGCCAGGUUAUUUCUGAUAAUCAGAAUUUUUACAUAACCAGCAAUCCCCUUAUCCCAGGGAUGCCAUAUAACAGAGAUUUUACUGUAAUUGGUCGAAAAUCCUUGCCUCUUGUGUAAUUUCUGGACCACCACAGCUACAAUAUCACUCCUGAGAUAUAGAGACAGAUAUUGUCCAUCAACUGUGCUCCUCUGACUCAAUUCAACCUCCAGAGAGGAGAGUCUUGUGUUCUGUUCUUUUCUCCCCCCAAGUCUCCGGCAGAUCCUUCUCAUAUAACUUGCUCUUUCCUUCAAUAUUCAAAGAAGUUUCUCAAACUUUCUAGCUUGGAGGCAAGUGAAGACUCUUUUUCAGCAUGUUCCAAGAACUUCCAUCAAAUGUUUAGGCAAGUAUCCUUUUCUUUCUCCCUUGGAGGAUGCUGACUUAAUAGGACAAGUUUUCCAUUACUAAAACUGCAAACUUUUAUGAACCAGUCAGUGAUUAUAGGAGUGUCACUUCUCUUCCAGGCAUUUGCAACGGUAAUUCUUUCAGCCACUACAGAAUAAGUGCUCAAUUCCCCGACUCUAAUGUACAUUUUAUUUUCUAACAUAUUUCAUCCUAAGUUCAAGAGAACUGAAACAUCAAUAUAACAAGGUGGUGCAUUUAUAUUUGAAAACAGACUAGUAUAAAAGAUUAGUUUCGUAUUCCACAGGUGAAAGAAAAUGAGGAAGUUCUUCUGAGAAAUGCAAGGCGUCUUUAACAGAGCCGGGAUAUUAUUUAGCUCCUUUGCUAUGUGAAUGGGUGUAAAAAAAAGACCAUGCAAGAAAAUACUCCACUCAACACUACAUGUGUUAAUCUUCUGCAGCAUUCUCUAAAUGGUUUAUGUUGGGACAAUACAGUUACACAAAAAUACGCUUAUUAUUAGAUUAAUGUGUCAAAUAUUGCAGCCAGCAAAACAGAAAGGGGCCCUGCCCUCACUAAACAUUUCUUGUAAAAAACAGUGCUGACUUCACAAUAAAGAUAUUUCAAUAAUCAAAACAAAUUAAAAAGCACUCAUGAAUAGUUUCCUUCAUCUUUAAAAAAAAUAAAAAAAGGUAUUCAGAGGAGAUUGUAACCCAGUUAGUUUAUGGGAAGUAUUGUUUUAUGAGCAGGAAGCACCAGCCUUUCCUGUUUUCAUGCUUUAAAAAA